This 44690-nucleotide long non-coding RNA is filed under the name Ananas comosus (pineapple). RNAcentral's name for it is "long non-coding RNA (ACOM_LNC026172)". Lineage: Eukaryota; Viridiplantae; Streptophyta; Magnoliopsida; Poales; Bromeliaceae. The record is from RNAcentral.
AACAACAAUCUACAUUUACCAAUCCACAAACAGUUCAUGCGAUGCAUUUUCAUACAGCUAGCGAUCCUUAGAGAUGAUGUAUGUUUCUAAACACUCCUUAGGCGCUGGAUGAUGCAAUGCACAAUACAACAAGCAUCCUAUUUAAAAGUGCUCCCCACCCGAAAGCUUUGAUUUUAAACUCUAUUUAAUCAUCCAUAAAACCAUUUGAAAAUCUUUUUAAAAUUGUUUUCUAUUCGAAAACUCCAUUUUGAAACCGACUACCUCAAGGGGUAGAAAACCACGAUGCAUAAAUAUACAAAUUCAAGAACCAAUUAUCCAUAAAACCAAAACCACAUAUCCACAAAUCUCUAAUUACAUGCAUAAUGAAAAUCAUCAACUCAAACAAGUUCACGAACAUUCAAACAUUCAAAGUGAUUAUCUAACUGAACCAUUUAAUUAUUAAUUUACUAAAUGCAGAAAUAAAACAUAACCGGGGUGACGGUCGCUACUGCAGUCUAGCUAGUACGUCCUCUCAUCGCGCCCAAAAGCCAACUCCUCGCCCGAGUCACCUGGAAAAAUGGAGGGUGGGAAACCACAAUCAAGGUUUUCCAGCUGGUACGACAGAGCCACGAAGGCAAGUCGUAAUCAUCGGAAACCAAAGAAGGUAAAGUAAACAAGUACAGAUGUAGUGAUACGAAAGAGAACUACAGUAGUUAUAACAGAUAUGAUAAGAAGCAAGUAAUAGAAACUGCUACUGUAAGGAACACAAUACUGAGCAUGCCUCAAGAUAAUCAAUCCAAAACUGUACCCAAUCUGGUGCCUGCUAUAUUGGUCUGCAGACCUCAAGUAUUGCCUGUCACAAAUCCGCACCGACCUGAUUCAUCUGCCCACUGGACGACCCAUCCGGAUAAGUACACCUCCGGUCGGUGGCCAAACCGACCUGGUGUCAUGAAUACUUCCAAGUGCUAUGACUAAGUCAUGCUAAUAUGCUCAAUGCGAAAGCCGGCUGAAGCCGGUGCCUUGGCCGAAGCCAGAUACAAGAGCGUACAACGCCAAACCAUGAUCAACCAAAUUGAAACACAUGACAAAGAAGUCGAUGUGUUGCCUGGACCCAAGGUCCACAGAGAUACAAGCCUGCUCUAUAUGUCUAUCAACCACAAAUAAUAUGCAAUCAAUAAGGUAAGAUAAACGAACGAUAACCAAACAACCGACAUAUAGAGACUACAAUGCUGAAAUAGAAGAACAGAGGAAGGUGAAACGAUCUCACCGACUACCAGCUCGAAGCACCCACCUGUCACAAAUACGUCGACAACCUAGGUACGCAAUGAGUCAACCGGACCUACGAAGAUCCACUGGGUCAGUAUCCAACCCAACAAACCGAAGGACAUGACUCACGAACCCCUACACAAGUCCCCAAAAUCAACUUCCCAAAACCGAUCACCGUAACUCGCAAGAAAUCACACCGGGAUGUCGUCGUGAUCCACUAAGUGUCCCGAAACUCACCGACUCGUGCCACGAGUCACCUGCUGCCACAAAACACACCGAUUUGGAUGUCUUGGCGGCAAACACAAGGUAACACAAACAAACAAUUAUCGUUGGAUAAUUGUUCAGAUCCGGGUUCCCAGAAGUGUCUAUUUCGACACCGGAACCUACUGUCGCUCACCCGUCAUCUCCGAACUCACGAUAUGACGAUGGUGACCGGCCGACAAGGCUCGGCGACAAAGCUCAAGGCAAACAAAUGACAUCGAAAGAAAUCCAACAGUAGCCACAAGGUGCAUAAUUACAUAAGAGUCACAAAUGCGCCGAAAAUGCAAAUUUGGAAGCCGCUGAUCCAAAGUGAGGUGAGCACUGUGAUCAGCACUGACCAAUAAUCACCGUGCUCAACUCCGGAGGCAUGGAGACAGCCUUGGAUCACCGAAAAAGCGUGCGCAAACCAGAAACAGCAACCAAAAUAGCACCACAAGGCUUAUCGGAGCAGUCGGAGCUAGGGCAGGCCGGUGGCGACUCUGCGGCGGGCACGCCAGCGAUCGACGUGUGCGGUCGACGUGGGGAGGCCGGGGCUCACCCUUGCCGGCAGCGGGAGGCGGCGGUGGUGGUGGCGGAGCAAACUGAGCCCACACAAGCCGAGCUCGGGCUCGAGGUGCACGCCGGCCUCGGCGGCGGCCGUGGUGCCUCGGGGCGGCGGCGAGGGUCGCCAGGGCUCCGAGGGAGGCAGCAGGAGUGGCCUCAGGCGGCGGCGGCGCACGGGCUAACAGCUGAAGCACAGCUCGGCCCAAUCCCGCCCAAGGAACCCGCAGGGCUGAAGCAGUGCGGCGGCGGCGCUCGGGGCGGCGAGGACCGACUGCCUGAGGUCGAAAGGAGGCCGCAGGGGUAGCCCAGGGCGGCGGCGGCGCGGGAGAGAAGUCACAAGGUAUGCUCGGCCCGAGCAGACUUGGGGCAGCCGCAAUCUGUCGAGGCGGCGGCGGCGGCCCGCAAGGGCGGCGGCGACCGGCGGGGAAGGUCGCCGGCGCUCCAAGGAAGACGGCGGUAGCGAUCUCAAGCGGCGGCGGCGCGAGAGGAAGGAGCUGAAGCUCCCUCAACCCGUGCUGACCCAAGAUGACUGCAAGUGGCCUGGGCGGCAGCGGCGGCGCUCGUCGACGGCAGCAGGCAGCAGAGGAGGCUUCGACGAGGUCGGGGCGACACCGGCGGAGAGCGAGGAGGCACUGUUGCCUCAGCCCUUCUCUCAACCAGAGAGAAAGAGAGAGAGGGAGAGAGAGAAUGAGAGAGAGAAUGAGAGGAAGGAGAAGGUGGCUGCGGCUGCGGCUGCCGUCUGGGGCUCAGUCGGCGGCAGCCGGGAGGGGCUCAGUGCACGAGGUGAGGGGGGAGUAGGGUGGCUAGGUCAGCUGUGGCUCAUCUAGGGUUAUGGUUCCAAGGUAAAACCCUAGAAUACAAUAUAUAUAUNACACACACACACACACACAUAUAUAUAUAUAUAUAUAUAUAUAUAUAUAUAUAUAUAUAUAUAUAUAUAUAUAUAUAUAUAUAUAUAUAUAUAAAACCUCAUUUUACGCAAAGAACCCCCAAACUCAGAUAUUUUAAACCAAGUCCCUCAUAGCGCGGGUAAAAUGCGCGAACACACCUCCACAUCUGGUUUAAUGCAAAACGGUACAUAAAAUGUCGCGCUUUUCACAAAAUUACCGUUUUCCCAUUUAAGACCCCUCCUCGGUCAACGCGCGAUAUCAGCAGAUCCGAUUUGCGAACGGAUUGCACUAGUGCGAUCAGUACGACAGAGACAACAAACUCACAAUUUCGUUUCACCUCGUUUGGUCACGGAUUUGCGACAAAACCUAUCCUCUCUCCAACUUUCCAAAACCACACCUAAAUAUAAUUGCAAAUCCAAUAAACUCCCGUUUUCUCAAAAAUCGUGCAUCAAACCUAAAAUUUGUCAGCGCCAUAGGUUCCAGAAUAGCCAAACCGUUCAAAAUGAGCUAUUGGAUCGCUAUGAACGGAGUCCGAUACGUGCCAGAAGCCAACUUUACACCGUGGCCUCUUCGAAAAACCGAGUUACUAUUCACUUUAAGUGAAAACUGAAGAUCGCGUAAAAUCUUCGUUCUAACUCGUUUUCUCCCAAAACUUGACGAGUGCUUUUGUAAUUAAAUUACACACAAAAACAUCCUCAACAGAGAGUCUAACUGUUCUGUCAAAUUCUCAGUCCUUAUAAUAAUGGAUUUCAUGGUUCGGCAAUGCCGAAAGUGCUGGCGCAGUCCGUUCGCAAAUUUGACGGAUGGAUCUCCUGUGAUUGUGUGAUUAACGAAAAGGGAAAUUGGCAAAAUAGUUUUUCACAAAAAGCCCCUAUAUUUUAUGUACCAAAUCGCACGAAUUCGUACAUAGAGAUGCGUAUGCGCAUUUUACUUGCGAUGUGGAGGGCUUGGCUGCAAAUUCUGAUAGUUAAGGGAGUUUCCUGAAAUUAUACACCCUUGUAUAUAUGGUAGCACCUAGGGUUUCGCCUUUUUAAACCCUAACCUUAACCCUUUUUCAUUCAGCCGAGCCCCCAGCCGCCUCGCCUCUCACCCUUCUGUGCGCCGAGCACCCGCCGGUCGCCGAUGACCGAGCUCCGACCGGCCAACCGCCACCACUGCUUCCAUUUUCUGCCUCUCAUUUUCCUCCUCCACCAUUAUCCUCUUUUUUCGGCCGAGGACAAGCCAGGGAGCACCCCCUACCCUCGGGCUCCCCUCUGGUGACGUCUCCGACCUCCGGCGAGCCCUUCCAGCCGGCCGCAGCCGCCCUCGAACACCGUCGUCGCUGCUGCUGCAAGAUUGGUGCCACUUAGGGCAGGUGCGGCCACGCUGUGCUACGUCACCUCUGCCACCGUCGUCCAUCAUCUCCUCCCCUCCCUCUCAACCCUAGAGGAGGCGUGCGGCCCUUCCUCGGUGGUCCCGGCCUUCCCUGUGGCCAGAGGAGAAAUCGAACCAUGGCCCUAACCCAUGUAGGCUUGGGUUGUUCCCGCACCGACAUUGCCGCUGUAACAUACCGAAUCUCCGGGUUACGAUACUAACUUUGAUCUAGCUAAUCAAAGUGAAGCUUGAGCUGGAUGUGCGUUGUCCCCGAGCAGUUCUGGAAGCGUGGGGAUGAUUAGAAGUGAAUUCCUGAGGUAUUUAGACGUUUUCGGCGCAAACUGAGCGCGAAAACGAACUCCCAGAACAAUUCUGCUGUUAAAGUGCAGAAUUGGCACUUGGUACCAGUACCAGAGCAAUGCAGUACCGGUGCCUAGUGAAUGUGUGGUUGUAGGGCGUACGGGGUCCGGACCUUACGAGGCUGUGUACCGGUACUGAAGUUGGGUACCGGUACCAGAAUAGCCUGGUACCGGUAUUGGCCUGGUGUAUCGGUACUGCAUAGCGAGCAGAAAUCGCGUAGCUCUCGAGUAUGGGAGCUGGUACCAGUACUAAGUCCCGAGUACUGGUACCCAGACAGAUGUGGACUAAAAUGUAAUGGUGCAAGUUGGUAAAUGUGAGGGGGUUUAAUUGUAAUUGUGGGGCUCCUAUAAAUACCCUUAGCCUCCACCUGUUAUCCCCCUUGCAAAAGUACUUUGUUUUCUCCUCCAACCUCUCAACUUCUCCUCCUUCUCUCUCUAGAGAACUCCAAUCCAUGGUGGAAUUGAAGGGGAUUGAAGCUAGAAUUUGAGGAUUUAGGAGAAGAAGAAGCCCAAGAGCAAGCAGAAGUUCUUGGAGUAAGAACCUAAGGUAGGUUUCUUACAAUUUCUUGAUUAGGGUUUGGUUUUAUACUCUAAAUUGCUAGGUUUUGAAGUCUCUAGGAAUUCUAGAGCUUAAUUAUGCAAAGAAAUCCUAGAAACUUAGACUCAAUUGGGUGUCUUGUAUGAACCCUUUGGGAAAUUAGGGUUUUGUAUCUAUGAGAGUUAGCUUAGGUUUGAUCUCUUGUAGCCCUAAUUGGAGUAUAAACCGACACAUUGGGAAGCUCGGAUCGAGAUUCCGGCAAGUCUACGCCGAGUUAUUGAGGAAAAACCUCAUUUCGGCUUCGUUUAUCGUGAGGCGAGAGGAGCAGUUGUCCAUAAAUCGCGGGAAGUGGUUUCCUCGCACUCAGGCAUCACUAGAAGGUGGGUGGUGCUAUCCGAAGUCUUCGAAUGACUUACUAUGUCUAGUCAUUUUCUUGAGCAUCUAUAAAUGUGUAGAGUGAAUUCAUGCAUUAGGGUAAAUGUGGUAUGUGGCAUUAUGGUAGUAUUUUGUAUGCUUUGAAAGUAAAGUACAUGUGGACAAUACAUAGUAAACUUAGAAACCCUAUAGAUGUAUGAAACGGUAAGCUAUGACACUAGUGAACAAAUGGCAUGGAACUAGACGACAUGAGUAGCACCUAGUAUUGGGAAAGCUUAACAAGGAAAAUAAACUUGUGACAUGAAUAAGAUGAGUUGGUUAGCAUCUAGAGUUUGGAAAUGCUAAACAUAGAAUAAAGAGCUUAUUAAAAGUGUGGCAUUGUAUCCUCCAAGCGAGGAUUGGAUCGUACUCACAGGUAGUCUGAAUGCUCGAGGUAAGUCGCUCCACCUUGGGUGGUGAGCUCCAGAGUAUCAUCAAUUGGGUUGAUAGUAGAAUUCUCCCCAGUAGACGGUCCCGUCGGGUUGUAGCGGUAUUCUCCCCGACAAAAAGGGAUUUGGUUUGGUGAGUUGAGAUUUAACCAAAGGGUUAAACAAGUGGAUUGGGUAAUGAUAAGAGCAUGCAUGCAUCAUGAGCAUACUAUUUCUGUUUUCAGUUUAUACAAGCAUUGUAGUAGUUAUAGUUUGUUACUAUCUAUCCUUUCUUGCCUACAUAUGCCUGAGUAGAUAUAGUGGGUGAGUCGGCGAGGUCGGCAGGUUCCACUGGAAACUUUCAUCAGUUCUCACACUAACAGUGCAGAUCCUAGCGCGAGCGGGGCGAUCGAGGAUCGGGGCAAGGGUAUCGCGCCCUAGAUAGCGGGCCUCCAUCGAGUUUAGCAUGCACCCUGUUUGUGUUCCUCUUUUGUAGCUUGAUGAAAAGUGCUAUGUAAAUGAACUAUGUAACAAGGAAAUGAUAUAUGUAUUUUGGAGAAUCUAUGAUGUAAAUUGGAACCUGAAUGUAAUAAAGUAUGAAACCUUGUAUUUUGUUUCAAUCUUGCAAAGUACAAUGAAUGCUUAGAUAGUUAUUACUUUCACUUUAAUUGAUGUUGCUUGCCCUCGUGCAAGCCAUAUAUAAUGGAAUUCAUCCUAGAUGAAUUUAUUAUACAUGUUGUUGUGGUUGUUGAGCUUUGGACGGACAGAAGAGGUUCUGUCCAUUCGACGUCUGUUGGACGUGCCCGAACCGACCAAAUUGGCGGUCACGGGGCGUGACAGCUACCUCCCAUCGUCGGCUAGUGCGUGCGUUGACCUCCCCACGUCAGCCGCACUCCCUACCGCCGAGCCGCCGCCGGCCGGGCUUUGCCCCCUCUACCCAAACAAGCCCGAUUAGGGCUUUUUCCUUGUGCUUUCACUAUUCCGGUGACCUAGGAUUGAUCCGACGCCUUCGGAGUUGAGCACGGUGACCUAUGGAGAGUGUUGAUUACAGUGCUCACCUGAUUUGUUGUGAGCGAGGCCCGAAUCAUCGGUUUCGCCUUCGUUGCUCCCGGAACACAUUCAUCGCUGGGCCGGGUCGGCCCCUAGCCCGUUUCGCCUGGAAAAAUAUGGGUCAUGCCGGCCCGGCACAGCCCAGGCCUGACACGGGCCGGGCCUACGGGCCGCAAAACUCAACCCGGCACGACCCGGAGUACUGGGCCGGCCNAAUCGCAACAAAAUUUAAGAGGCCAUGCUCUAAUUAACGGAGCUCAAAUUAAAGGGCCUAAGAAGUGCUGGUGGUUACGUGGCAACUUCGUGGUGUGCAUUGGAGAGGUGCCGCAGCCUUUAAUUAUGCACAGCUCUAAUUAAGGCAUGCACACCAGUAGAGAGUCGGCAUUGGCUUGGUUCGUACGGAUUGACAGAGAAGCUUUUUUCCGGAGUUGCUUGUUGCGCUGUUUCAGAUCUAAUUAAGUUUUGGUCUUUUGGGAGAUUCUCUUUGUACUCCGCCUUUUCGACAUUAAUAAAUUAUUUGCUCCGCCUUCGCCCGUGGACGUAGACCGUUGGCCGAACCACGUAAAUAUCGGUGUGCUCUUUCUCUUUAUCUUUUUUUUUCUUGCAUUAAAUUAUUUUCUGGAUCUAUUUUUCGCCAUUCCGAUUUUAACAUAUAUAGACAGCAAGAAGGGACCACAGAGAAUGAAUCCAUACCAUUUUCGUGAUCAAAGGGGAUGAAUAAGCCGAAACGAAGCGUCGCUAACGGGAACGGUGCGACCGGAAGAAGCGCCGACCAUGAACCCAGCCCAACAUUCUGUCUAGAGAGGGAACAGGAGUCGAAGCGGCAUAUAAGGAGCGAACGAAACGAAGCGUCGCGACGGGAAGAAGGCCCGACCAUGAACUCGCCCAACAUUCCGUCCAGAGAGGGAACGGGAGGGAACAGGAGUCGGAGCGGCACCUAGAGGGGCGAGCGAAGGAGGUGAAGUUGGAAGAAGAAGUUAAUUAGAAGCAGGGAAGGAGGCGGAGUUGGAAUAGGGAAAAUUAAAUGGAAGCAGAUUAUGAAAAAAAAUUUGGUUGGGUAGGACCCACCCACUAAUUAAUUACUAAAAUAUUUUAAGAUAACAGGUAGGGCCCACAAAAGUAAAAUUAAGCUAAUGCUGCCACGUGGACAAAGGGAACACGGGCUUUCAUAAGGGUUAUAGAUAGUAUAGAUAGAUAGUAUAGAUAGUAUAUAUAGUAUAGAAGUAUAGAUAUACAGAGUUUUAAAAUUUUAUAUUAUAAAAUUCCAAAUUUUGGAUAUCAAAAUUUUAAUUUAUUCCAAAUUUUCGACUUCAAAAUUUAAAAUUUUAAAUCCUAAACUAUAUAAAAUUUUGAGUUAUUUUUCUAAAUUGGUUUGCUUCAUUGCCUACCAACUAUUAAACUAAUUAAAGUAUUCCUCCAUCUUUUGUCAUUUAUCUAUUGUAAGUCCAAAUUUUAGAACAAAUUAUAUCUAAUUUUUUAACUUUGGUGCUUAAUUGUGCUAAAUUUAAAAAUUUCUUACAAAAUUAAAUACAUGUUCAUAAAUUCUAAAAGAAAUUAUAAAGUCAGUCAAUUAAAAACCUACAAAUCAAGUAACUACUUUUUAUUUUAUUAGUGUCAAGCCCCAGAUUACCACGUUUUCCAAUGCACACGAACAGGCCCCGCCAUAUACAUAGAAAUUUUUCGUGUAUACGAAGCGAUAGUUGUACCUGUAAUCACAACAUAACUACAACCAAUAAUAUGGAGCUGCUAAACUGAAAAUAAAACAUAUAUAUAUAUAUAUAUAAACCUCGAGGGGUUCCUGUACAUACAAAAUGUCCAUAACACCACUCGCACCAGCGAGUAUCCCAACAACAUAACCAUAUGUACAAGAAAGUCCGAAAGCUACUUGUGGAAGGUAUUCCUCUAGCACGGCAACACGACUGGUAAGGAUCUAGCUCGCGACUCCCUUCCCACGGUCCGAAUCAGCGACGGCAGCAGCCACUGACAAAGGCUCUACAAAAAGGAGUCAACAACUGGAUAUGAGAACUACUGUAAAAUAGAGUAAUCCUCAGUGGGUACCGUCACCGACCUCAACGGCUUACCCACUAAAUCUACAGAAAAUAUGCACAAGGAUAGUAAAGGGAGCUAGAAAAACUCUACAACUAUAUGCCACUAUACUAUCUCUAACCACUACAAGCUAUCUGUAGAUAAUAAAAUAUGCAUCACUUUGACCCAAUCUCACUAGGGCUACCCAAACGGACCCACCCUGCCUGUAGGCAAACUACACCAUACACCACCCUCGGGGAUGGUCGGUCUAAGUAAAUGGUCCAAAACAGGACGGCUGUGACAUCAACGCAAGUAAAAGCCUCACUCCGGAGCGACAGUCGUGGGCCCAACCCAACCGAGUAUGCAAGCGUGUCUCUGCCGAGCUCAAUCAGGCUCUCACAGGCUGUAGUCAAUGUAAAUGGAUCUAAUUGGUCUAUCAACCAAAUCUCACGUGCCCUUGGCACAAUCUGAUGCAAGAUAUAGAAAUCUAGGUCCACCGUCAACCACAACGGCACCCGACAGUACCAAACAGUCUACACACUACUGUAAAACGAACUUGACAUCCCAGCACGAGCAUAGCCUCAACUACACUAAUCUGGGUAUCCACCGUAUACUAACAGCGGCGAUACAAAAGAACUACAGCUCCUAAAGCUAAAUCUGGUAAUUAUUUAGAAAUUGACAGUGUAGGGUUAAUAGUUUUCUCCUAAGUCAAUUCCAAGUCCAACAUGUAAAACGAAUGUAAAAUUUAAAGCUCCAACUCAGAUUUCACAAAAAACUAUGCAAAUCGGUGAAUUGAGCUACUAAUAUGAUACUACACAUGAAAUACACAUGCUGACAAAACCUCGACUUAGGAGGAAAUCUGACAAUUUCGGUAAAUUCAACCCACCUCGAAAAGCUCGUCCAACCAUGGCGAGAAGUCGAAAGGAGGGAGAUCCACGCGCUCGCCCGGCCUCCAACGGCACAACCGCGACGCACACACGUUUGAACGGCCCUCCGGAUCGACGUCGAGAACCGCCCAAGCUCGAGCCGCGAUUUUCACCACGAACUACGUCCAACACUAAAGAGAGAGAGGAAGCAACAACCAAAAUCCCCUCUCUGAGCUCUUUACAUGUAUAUAAAGGCUGAGAAGAAACAUUGGGUUGAACAUCAAUUCAAAGGACCAAACUAUCCCUUACCAACCCAAAAAUCCAGCUAGGGUACCAGUACCCAACUUCAAUACCGGUACCCGGCCCCUUAGUCCACAGCCUCGCAUACUGGGUACCGGUACUCGCCCGAUGCAGUACCGAUACUCGGGCUCGGUACCGGUACUUGACAACCAGGUACUAUUACUCAGCAUCAAUUACGCGCAAACCCGAGAGCUUCCAUCUUGGCCAUCCACUGGGGUACCGGUACUCCUCUCAGGUACCGGUACUCAACACUAAAAUCCUGCAUUUUGCAGAUUUCAGUGUCAGAAUUCUACUCUCGCGUCGCGUUGAGUCCGUUUUGUAUCCAUCUCGCGCCAAAACGACUCCGACUUGUUCAGACACUCUUCAGACGUGUCGACAAGGCUCAGAUGCUGAAAUCAUACAGGCUGCUAAACACCAAGGACACAACAAUUAUAAUAUUUUCAAUUCUCGAUAAUGCUUGAAUGGGUCGACAAAAAUAAUCUAAAUAGAGUUAGAAGAAUAAGAAUUAAAAAAGAACACAAAAAAAAUGUAUCUUUUAGACAAACUGGUCUAAAAAUAAGCAUAUUACAAACUUUUUCUUUUUGCUCCAGAAAAUUUUGAAAAUUUACGAAAUCCCAAGAAUCUAAAUAGGAACUAUCAAAUACCUAGAGACAAAAUCUGUAACAAAAUUUUAUAUUUUAAAAUCAGAUGUUGAUACAAAUUUGUGUUUAAUAUAUAUAUUUAAUAGAAAUAUAUACUAUAUUUAUAAAUAUAAUUAAGAAUGUACCCAUCGUACCCGCAGCAAAGCACGGGUACGAGGGUACAUCGCUAGUAUUUUACUGUAGUCUAUAAAUUCUGUACUAACUAAUUCCAUUUAGUCAAAUGUAACGCACUGGACCUUUGCAAAUUGCGAGGUUCGAGUGUUUGGAUGUAUUUCGAGCUUUUCCACACUUGGUGGAGGGUUGUAAAAUGUUUUCCGACCUAAAAAGUUCGAAAACUGGAAUUCUGGACUAGUCCUGAGAGUUUUUACUCUCGGGGACCGGUCCCUGGAAGGAGAGACCGGUCCCCCAGUGAGCAGUGUUGCGGCAGCCCUGAGGCAACCGGUCCCUGGCGGGCGAGACCGGUCCCCGAGCGCGCCUUCGCAGAGAGAGACCGGUCCUACGCAGGGAGAGACCGGUUCCCGAACGUUGGUUCUCCGGGUUCGCAGCGAGAGACCGGUCCCUGCUGGGGAGAGACCGGUCCCUCUGGGCGAAGACUGCCCAGACCGGGCUGAGGCAAUAUUGGAUUUUUGGAGGACCUAGCUGGAUUUUGUUACAAUAGAGGGUCUAUAUGACCCCUCCACCCUCUCUUCUCCUCAUUUCUCUUCUCUCAACUUCUCCACACCCUUGGUAGAGGAGAAGGAGAAGAAGGAGAAGGAGAAGAAGGAAGGAAGAAGAAGAAGAUUGAGAGCUUUUAGAGGACUUGGAGCAUCUUCCUCACCCUCUCUUCUUCCUUGGUGCUUGGAGCUUGGACUUGGAGCUUGCAAGAGUGGAGAUUUUCACCCAUUGAGCUUGGAUUGAAGCUUCUUUGAGGUUGGUAGCCCUUUCUCUCUAUCUAGACUUUGGAUUUGAGAUUUUUCUUGUGUUGAAACCCUAGAAAUGAGAUUUAGGGUUGAUUUUGGGGCUUUUUGAUCUAGGGCUUUUGAGGCUAGAUUUUUUGGAUUAGAACCCUCCUUUGGGUUAGAUUGGAAGGAUCCUAGCCUUCUUUUGGAGCUUGAGUGAGAAUUUCUACUCCCUAGGUGAGUUUUUGCCCUAUUCUUGUGAUUGUUAUUGUUCGAGCCUAGAGUUGCUCGUAAUGCUUGUGUAUCUCUUCGCUGAUCACUUUUAGGGUAUCUUGAGGCUCGUGGACAACUCCGUUCGGCGAAUCGAAGGAGCACGCGACGGUUCGGUGGGUUUGACCUAGCUAUGAUAUGAGGAAUGCUUCAUAUUUGGCAAAAUAUGUUUCGUAAAGUAGAAAUUCAUGCAUUUCCAUGUUAAAUGUAUUAAUAUGAAUUUUAGAAAUGCUUAACAUGCAAUAUUAUGUAUAUGUGAAAUUUUAGACCCCUAUGUGGUAGAGUGCAUGCAUGUGAGACUUAGGAUUCUAGUUAUGAUUGGGAACCAUGAUUCCUCUGAUGAAAAUGAAUCUUGCUUUCAUGCAUUUAACCUAUAGGCCAAUUGUGACAUUAGGAAUGUAGAAGCUAGAGGGGGCUUGAGAAUGACUAUUUGAGAAUUGGACAAUGUCAUAAAGAGGCAUUGGGCCCGGAUCAGGUAAUCAUUGGUAUAAUGUUUUAAUUGAAACAUAGAAUAAGAUUUGGGCUCGAUCUGUUGUGAUGCUUAAGUGUCAUAAAGAGCACUAAGCAAGUGAGUGUUGGGACAUCACUUAGAGACAUUGGCCUAGAUCCUUGGAUGCUAGUGACCUCGCCAUGUUAGAGACAUGUGGAUAGAGUAUUUGAGACAGUGACCUUGCUUGUUUGCCAUUUUGUGCUCAUAACGCACAUGCUUGUGAGGGUCGCUCCUACAAGCCGGCACUCCGGAGUUAGCCUACGCGACUUAUGUUGCUCGUGCGGUAUUGAGAGCCUACGGGGUCGAGUGGGACAGAUACAUUCCAAUAUAGAGAGAUGUUGGGCUACCACAGGCACUUAGGCGGCGCAAGCUGGACUACCUUUGGUAGAUCCUUAAUUGGAAAUGGAAAUAGACACAGUGUUGAGAAUGGUUAAUCACUACUAGAUAGGUUUAUAGUUGAAUUACAUUUAUAUGCUUUUAGCAUAGUGUUGAGAGCAUGUAGUAUCUUGAUAGUCUCCUUUGUAUUAAAGCAUACUUGGUUGCCAUGACAGAACUUAUGCAUAAUGUAUUCAUAAAGGUUAAUGACUUACUAUUUUGAUAUCGUAGAUUUACAUCACCAUGACAUCGUUUAUACUUGAGUUUAGUAAUUUAGCAUUUUAAUUAUGUCUUUAUAAUCGCAGUCUUAUUGCUAUUAUUAUCGUACCUUACCCUUUUCUUUUGUGGCCUAGUGGUGCAUAGAGCUGAGGUCAGUAAUUGCCCACUGGGAACUAUAAAUUAUAGUUCUCAUGCCCUAUUUUUCUCGAUGUUUUUCAGAGCCUUCCACGCAGGGUGAAGCCAGGGAUCGCGAGAAGGGAGUUGCUUCGAGCUAGCUUCCUUCGAGGACGAGUUGCUAGGUGGUCUACCUCUCGAUUUAUUUUUUUCUUUUGCGAGAGGUUGAGAGUUUUACCAGUGUACUAGAGACCACCACUUUUGUACUUUUGAGACAGAUAUUGUACUACUUAUGACUCCUUUUAUUGUCUAGCUUUACUUCUUUACUUUGGUGUAGAUGUUAGAACUAUAUUCGCUCUGAUAUCAUUAGUUACUAGUUAUUUCACUUCUUUUAUUUAUUCUAUCUCUUGCUUUACUUCCGCUUUUGUUGCAGACGCCUUAUAUGUGCAGUCAUAUGGCAGGUCUGGGCACGCUACCGGGAGGGCCUUCGCCGGUCCCGGGGCGUGACAUCAAAAACGUUGUGGAACACAAAAUAAUAAUAAUAUUACAUAGAGAUAUUCUUUUCUAUUUUUUUUAUAGAUUGUAGCAGUUAUAUCUUAAUGAAAUAUACACCAUUUACUAAACAUAUUAUUUUUUACGAGAACAUAUAAAAUAUUUUUCUAUUGGAUUUUUCUAAUUUAGGUAAUGCACACACACAAUUUCAAUCGACAAAGCUAUAGUUUAAUCAUUAACUAUGUCUAGUGUACGUGACAAAGAACUUGAUGGUUAGGAUUUAGGAUUUAGGAUUUAGGGUUUAGGGUUUAGGUCCAUCCAAUCAACAUCCAUCAGAGAAAUUAUUGUUUGCAUUUGGUGUAUGCAAAAUGCUACUAUGGUGUAAAUCUUGCACUCACUAUCCAAAAAUUUAAGAACUAUUAUGGGUUUUAGCAUUAAGAAAAUAAAGGUUAAUAAGACUAGUAAAUAAAUAUUAGUCUUUGAAAAGUUGGGGUGUAAGAUUUAUAUCUCAUAUUAUAUAUGGAUGUAUAGAUAGCACUGCUUGAUGUAUUUGUGUAGCGAUGAAUUAUCAAUCUAUCAUUUUUUUUUUCUCGUCUAGUGGUGCAUACAGACCACCGCCGACUUCAGUACCUCCAAACGCAAUCAAAAUUGCAACAGACGCAUCACAUGAAAUGGAUAAUAUACUUGCAGCAGUUUAAUCUGGUGAUCAAGUAAAAGAAAAGCGCUCACAAUAAACUGGCUGAUAUGCUAUCACGACCACCGAUAGCAGCACUUUGCUUGUCGAUAUUUAUACAAGUUUAGCCAAAUUUUCAUGAGUAUGCAAGCUUAUAUAUAGAAGAUUCAGAUUUUCGAGGCGUUACUGGCUGACAUCGAAACAAAACGACUUACUGAGUUUGUCUUGCAAGGCGGUCUACUGUACAAGAGUGCCUUGUAUGUGUACCUAAAUAUGGCAAUCGAGUACAAUGGAUCCGAGAAGCCUACACCUCGAAGGUGGCGGGUCACUUUGGGGUGAAUAAAAUCUUACAAAAUCUCCAAUGCUACGUCUAUUGGUCUCACAUGCUAAACGAUGUGGCGUGAUUUGUGAAGGGUUGUGUCCUGUGUUGCACAUCCAAGCUCGUUAAUCGAAAGGUGAGCCUCUAUACUCCUCUUUCGGUGCCGACUCAUUCUUAGGAAAGUAUCUCCAUGGACUUAGGCCUUCAGAGGAUCCAACGGGGACACGACUACCUUUACAUAGUGGUCGAUCGCUUCUCCAAGAUGAUAGUUCUUGUGCCGUGCAAGAAGACAGUCAUCGGUGAGGAAGCAGCGUGGUUGUUCUUCCAACACGUUGGACAUAUUUUGGACUACCAAUCUCGAUUGUAUCUGACCGUGAUAGCCAUUUUCUAAACAACUUUUGGCAAUCUUUGUGGUCCAUGAUGGAUACAAAGCUACAACGGAGCACGGCUUUCCAUCCUCAAAUCGAUGGUCAAACAGAAGUGGUCAACCGGACAGUUGUAUAUUUGCUGCGAGGAUAUAAGGCUCGACAUUCUAAGACUUGGAACGAGAGCCUUCCAUACUUGCAGUUUACGUUCAUCGAGCUAUAUGCAGUUCCACUAACAAUACUUUCUUUGAGGUGUGUUUGGGUUACUUACCAAUAAACCCAUUCGAUUUGGCAUUCACGGUCGAGUAAUCGUAAACCACCAAGGAGAAAAAUGAAAUGGCAAAGACACAGCGCUUCUUGAAGAGCAUUCAAAAAGUGCAUAGUGAUGUGGAGCAACAAUUACAAAAAUCUCAUCAGAAAUAUAAAGAACGACAUGAUCGAUAUCGAGUGAAAGGCGACUUCCGAGAGGGUGAUCUCGUCUGGCUCUAUCUCAACAAAGAGAGCUUGAAAGGCGAUGUCACACCCCGCCGUCCCUUCUCCAAUUAGGUAGAAGGUUCACGCAUCGGCGCAUGCGCCAGACCCGCCAAACAGACAAGGUUUUUCCCCACCCGUCCAAGGCGUCACAACAUACAAACACAAGAUAUUCCAAACAGGAAUCGAGUACAUGCAUAGUGUAAGGUAAGCAUCAUACAACACAAGCAUCACUAUGUUAUUACAACAUUUCAUUCACUUACAUACAUGUCACCAUCCAAAACAUAAAUUACAUUUUUGUUCUCUUCCCUAGUUACUACAUGAGUCCAAAAAGGGAUACAACUAUAAAAUGAAACCAAAAGGGAUGGACGCUAUCUACUGCUCCACGCCCUUUCCACUCUCCGCCGCGUCCGGCUCUGAUGGGCCUGAAAAAUGAGGGUGUAAGAACUCCAAAUAAUUCCCUGUCACGCCCUGGGGUCCCUUUGCAGUUUGGAAAGACAGCGGAAAUGACUAAAAUAUUUUUUUUUAAACACCUGACCCCAGAGUAUGUCAGAUCCGCCACAAAUACAGGGAAUCCACUGUUCACACGGACAGAGUCUCCCCUGUAUUUGCACGGCGUCGCACAAGUACGGAUACACAAUCAGAGUACAACCAGAAUACAACCACAACCAUAUGAACAUACGACCACAACCGCACAUACAGACGUCCAUACAUUCACCAUUCACAACACGACUGUAUCCAUAAUUUUGAACAUAAAUCCAGAUCUAUCAUUUGAAACGUUUCCUACCCGGAAACAAGUUUGAAAUACUAAGUUUCAGAAAUCCAUUGAAAGCUUCUUUUAAAACUGUUUCCCACACGGAAACUUUAUCUUUUAAAACGCUACCACGAGGGGUAGAAAACCAUCGAAAACUGUAUCGAAUAUGAAAACCCUUUUCUUUUUAAAACAAGCGCUACCACGAGGGGUAGAAAACCAUUUUACUUGAAAAGCCCAUAAAUCUCUUUUUAUCACGAAAACCCAGCAGAAAACUGAAUAUUCAAGUACCGAAUGAAACUGAACCGUAAUGAAAGUUUACUAUUUAUUCAAGCAAGGGAAAAGAGAUAACCAAACGGGACGGAGCUCUAACGCGCGCUAGACUCGCUCCUCACCUGCCGUCCCACUCGGACCUGCGACGUCACCUGUAAUGGGGGCGGGGGGUGAGAACAUGUAAACAUGUCUCCCCUCCCAGUGGGUACCGCAAGCCGACGAGGGCGAGGGUACGCACCAGCAAAGGAGGCUAAACAACAGUAAAGGUAAACAACUACAGUAGCUACUAUGAUAUAAGAACAGAAAGUACAAGUAAGGAACUGAUGUACAAGUAAUGAACUACUGCUACUGUAUGUAUGCAUCAACUGGUGGAUAGUCCAAGGAUACCCAAUCUAAACCUGCCUUGUUGGUCCGGAGACCUCAGGCUAAUGCCACAAUCACUCAACCUGCAUAUACCCAGUCGUAACCUCUGAGCUCACGGGUGGGCAAACCCAACCACUUUUCCGGAAAAGAACACCCCCUGCGGUGGAUCAGACCGCUGGUGUUCGUGAAAUGCGAACGAGUGGUGACGAUCGAUGCUGAUAUGCUCAAUAGCCAACCGUCGGCAACCAGCCGACAAUCACUGCCCCUCUGGGCAAACCGACCGUAUAGGUCAUCAAGUACAACGUGAACCGACCGAGAUAGGUCAAUGUACGUAAAGUAACGAACGACCAAACAGGUCACCGAUGCAACAGGAGAACCGACCAAUCAGGUCACAUGUAUAGUAUAUACUAAUGCCAUCUACUCUACCCCUACACAGAAUACUACGCAUAGGACAACCGGGCAGAGUAAAUAAAGACAGUAUGGUGCAAGGCUCAAUAUGUAACGAGUAAACAAUAUGAAUAGACGAUGUAAAAGAUAGGGUAAAGGAAGACAUCACCGAGCGUGCACCACUGUACCGACUUCGGAUCGAAGUACCCACCUGUAUAAAGCUGAAACGGUCUCGCGAAGGCGGAGACGAAGCGACCGGACCUACGAAGGGUCCACCGGGUUAGAGUCUAACCCACAAACACAAUAACACGACCAUUCUCACACAAAUCCCAAAAUCAAAACCCCUCGGAACUCGGUUUCUCAAACGCAACUACCGAACCAGCCGGAAAUCCCGGAAACCGUACCGAAACUCCACCGUCGCUCACCCGUCGUUUCCGAACCCUCGAGAAGACGCGGGUGACCAGCCAACAAGGCUCAGCGACGCUACAAUCAACCACGAGGCACCGUCGGAUGAAUUCCGAGUCGAACGCGCGUUCUAUCGGCGGAUUUCGCCGAAAAACGCUCCGGAAAUGACCGAUAGAUUUCCGCAAAGGCUUGGGGCCUUGGACGAUCAGUCCAGAGGUUAUCUUAAGCCUUAACCUGCUGCCAACAGCAGCCACGACGAAGCGAAACGCAAAAGGAUCCCUAAUGGCCCAUGAAAUCACAUUAUUUUAUGUGAUUUCAUGGCUCUAACGGGUCGUACCAGCAAACCAGGGAUCUAUGGAGGUUGCCAUCGCACUUGCUGCAAGGUUUCAGCAUGCCUGAGGCCGUGCUCACCUUUCGGAGCACUGCCGGCAGCAACCACGCGCGCACGAGCGACGCGAACCUCAGCGAAACAGUGCGCACAGCGCGAAGAUCGCACAUUACUCACUAACCAGGGCACCGUUAACCUAAAUGGAGGUGAGCAUCGUGUUCAGCACGAGCCCACGAUCACCGUGCUCACCUCCCGAGGUGCCAGGGAGUCAUCGGAUCACCGGAAAGGUGACCGGAACGCAAAACAGCAGUGCUGGAACCAAAGUAAACUACUCACCGGAGCUGUGGGAGCUAGGGAUGGCCGCCGGCGAUCGGACGGCGGGCACUCCGGCCGGUGAUGGGAGCAGCAGGUCGGGGAGGUCCGGGGGAGGUGCUGGCCGGCGGCGGGCAGCAGCCGGUGGCGCGGCGGCGGAGAUCGGGCCCGCCGACUUCCUCUCGGGUUGGAGCUUGCCGGCGGCGAGGCGGCGACCGGGGGAGGUCGGGGCGGCAAUGAUCCGGUGCCGGAGACCGAGGAGGAGGUGGUGCCCACCUCCGGGGGCAACGGCGGCGCUCGGGAGUGGCGCGGCUCCAAGGUAGGCCCGCACAGGACCCGAGCGGCGGCGGGAGGCCUUGGCGGCGGCCGGCGAGGCGCGGGGACGGUCGGGGACGCACGCGCCGGGUUGCAGGAGAUCGCCGGGGUCGACAGGGGGGCUUGGCCGCAGGGGAAAUGCGAUCCCAAGGCCCGCUACCUGAGCUCGGCCUGGCUCGGGUCUGGGCAGACCCGGCUGGCUGCAGCUUCUUCCGGCGGCUCCGGCGUCGCUCGGGGGUGGCCGGGGCCGGCGGGAGAGGGCGCCUGAGGAGGUUCUCGACCAGGGAAAGGUGAUGCUCGGGCUAACAGGGUUCUCCAAGCACCAAACUUAAGCCGGUGGUGAGGUGGUCCAAGAGAGGAAGGGAAAGUUGGCUGCAGGCUGUUUCCGGCGGCCGGGCUGCUCGACGGCGGCCGGAACGCGAGCACUGGCGGGGCAGGGAGGUGCUGGGAUGACAGGGGCGGCUGGGGGUUCUAGGGUUAGGGUUAGGUCCCAAAAAAAACCCUAGAUCCACCUAUAUAUAGGUAUGGAAAACAUGCGGAAAACCCCCUCGAAAGGAGUCGAAUUAAUCCCAGCUCUCAACCAGCAGUCGCAUAACGCACGAUAGUCCCUCUAAGUUCGAAAACUCGCAAUUCGACGCAUAAAAUAUAGGGUCUUUUCGCGAAUAAUCCGAUUACUCAAAUCAGCCCCUUCGCGGACUUUUCGCGAUUCCCGAAGAUCCGUCAGUCGGAUUUUCGAUCGGAUCGCACCAGCGCGAUCGGCACGACGGAGGCAUCGAAUCUAGCACCUCGUUUCGCCCGAAAAGAUUUCCGAUUUGCGACAAAACCAUCCCUCCAAGGUUCCACCAAAAACCACACAUAGACAACUAUAUGCAAAAACCAUUAAACCCCUUUUUCUCGAAAUCCGUGCAUCCAAAUCCAAUUCCGUCAGUGCCCUUGGGUCCAGGAUAGUCGAGCGGUUGAAAACGAGCUAUUGGAAGGCUAUAUUCGGAGUCCGAUACGCGUCGAAAGUCCACUUUACUCCGCGGCCUCUCCGGAAAACCGAAGUUACUAUUCACUUAAGUUAGACUUCCGGGUCGCGUAACUUCUCCGUUUUAACUCGUUUUCUCCUAAAAUUUGACGAGUACACUUAUAAUUAUAUUACACACAAGAACAUCGUCAAACAAAAGGGUUUAAUCAAUAAAUCAAAAAUCUCAGUUAUUACAUUCCCAGUGGGUGCGACCACCCAAGAAAAAAAACUCGACCCACCAGGUCCAAAGAAGGCAAAACAAAUACGAGUUAGUCAAUACAAUCAUAUAUACACAAAUAGCUUAUGCCUCAAAAUUAAACAUGCAUUAUGUUUUCUAAGUUCCACCUGCUAACCACAUUACCCGUCUCACUCAUGAGACAAUUAGUAGCGGAGCACCGCCGUCCUCUCAUAGGCAUUAGGUGGGGAAUCUAUCGUCCACCCCCGGCCGCAAGUCCAUAACUCAUGAAGUCGCUACCUACUUGAUAUUAGGUUGUCAUCCCGAGCACCCCCGACCACCGAAGUUAUUGGUAGCGAGUUCAUCUAUCUCGCCCCUUGCCUUGGUAUUAGGUGGCUUUUUGCACACCCCCUACCAUAUGUCACGCCCGGGGACCCAGUAGAAGCCCACCCGGUGCGUGUCCAGACCCGUCAUAUGCCUACAACAUAUAAAGCGUCUACAACAAGGCGAUAAAUAAAACAACAAUAAACGAGCAUCUAGAGAUAUCAGAGCAUACCACUUCUAAAUUCUAGAGACAAGUGGAAAAAUGAAAGAACUAAUCUUAGUAUAUAAAGCAUAAAGUAGUACAUCAUAAGAUCCCAAAUACAAGUGUUAGAUAUACAAAAAUGGUGAUCUCUACACAUGGGUACAAAAACUCUCCCUCUCUACAUCAAGUACAAAAAUAGAGAGAGAACCACCUAGCGUAAAAACUCCUUGCUAUCUAGCUAGAUACGAUUCCUUUUCCGCUAUCCCGAGCCUCUCCUGUGUGGAUGGCUCUGAAAAUAAAAACAUCAACAUAGAGGGUGUGAAAACUAUUAAUCAAUAGUUCCCAGUGGGUAAGCCGCCGACAUCAGCGAAAUACACCACUAGGCUAUAAAGGCAAAAGUAGUAAAAAGAACUAAAGUAACCACAAAUAUAAUUGACAAUAUAAUUUUGCUAAGCUACUAUGCCUCAACUAGCAAGAUAUUAAACAUGUAAAGCUACUAAUGUAUCAUGAUUGAGUAUAUCCAAUAAGUGUACUAGUAUGCUCUAAACAUGUCCACAUGUAUACAAAUAUGCACUAAAUGUGAUCAACAAGUAUGCUACUAUGUCCAACCAAUUCCUACCAUCGAGUAGUAAUUGUCAUUUAGUUGUUACAUGUCAUUUAUCGAUUUCAAUCUAGGAUCUACACAAGUGUAGUCCGCUUGUACCGCCUAAUGGCCCCGGCUAAUCCAGCAUUUCUCAAGGAAUGUGACUGUCCCACGGCGACCCAGUAGGCCCUCAAUCCUGCACGGGCGAGCAUAUGUCGCAUAGGCCAACUCCGGAGUGUCGGCUUGUGGGGAGCGACCCUCGCAAGCAUGUGCGAAUGAGCACAAAUGGCAAGCAAGCAUGAUCAUCAUCUCAAGUAUCCGAUCAUCAGGUCCCCGACAUGGUAUAAACACUAGCAACCCAAAGGUCUAGUUAUAUGUCAUAGUGUACUAGUUUAACCGUUCACUAAGUCCAAUGCCUCUUUAUAACAUUAGCUUUUACUAUAUCAAUAUAUGUUCCAAGUCCAAUGCCACUUUAUGACAUUGUAUCAUUCCUAUGUUUAGCAUAUGUCCAAUCUUCAUAAGCAAGUAAAAGCUUGUCAUAUCACCAAAUAAUACAUGAUUUCAACAUAUCGUGAGAAUACUAUUUGACAUGCACAUUACUAUGCAAUUUUCUCCCUACUACAUAGGGGUCAUACAAUAUGAUAUAUGACAUAUAUAUUUUAUGCAUUCUAAAAUUUCAUUACGCUCUAUCUAGCAUGAUUAUGCAUGAUUUUUUAUUUUUAUAACAAAAAAUAUAAUAUAGAGAGAGUCACCCAUUUCGGUGAGGUUAAACUCACCAAAAAUUCCUAAAAUCCCCUUCGUUUGCGCAAACGAAGAUGUCCACAAGUCUCCUAACUCCCUAGAGAAAAUUCUAAGAGGGUUAUGCGAAGUGAACGAACACCCCAUGAGUCUAUCUUUAACCAACCCAAGAAAAGGGCAAAACUCACCUUGAAUGGUGUAGAACCCUUCCAAACUCAAAAUGAAGGGUAGGAUACUUCUAAUCCAACCUACAGGGGAGUUCUACACCCAUCAAUUAAGCCUCAAAAGCCUCAAAUUAAAAACCCCCAAAUAAAAUUCUAGAUUCUAAUUUCUAGGUUUUCAUCUCAAGAAACCUACCAAAACAUGAAUCAAAUGAGGAAUUUAGGUUACCAACCUCUCUAGAAGCUCCAAAUCAAGCUAGAGGUGAGUUAGGGUUGAAGAUCUCUCCUCCAACAAGCUCCUAACCAAGCUCCAAAACUUCUUCCAUGGUGGAAAGGUCACCAACAAGCAAAGAGAAGCAAAAAGAAGUGAUUAAUCCUCAAAAGUCCAAACAAAUGAAAGAAAAUCAAAGAGGGGAAGAAGUGAGGUCCCCUACCCUUUCUCCACUGGUUCCAAGCUCAGGAACCUCCAAAGCGGUGUGGGGUAUAAAUAGAGUAGCUACAAUUGCAAAAACACCCUUAAAAAAUAAGCAUUCUGCGGACUGCACUGUGUACCAGUGACACAGGCUGGAGUACCGGUACCAGGUAGCCGAGCUUGCCAAACCGAGCCUCGGGUUUGCGAGAAAACACACUGCGUACCGGUACUCCCGCAAUGCAGUACCGGUACCAGGUCCAGCACCGGUACUCAGCCGAUGGAGUACCGGUACUCUGCUCUACAGAGUCCAAUCCUAGAGCAGUCCAAAUCCUUUAUUUUUGAGGUUUUGGUGCUAAGUUUUCACCCUCGCUUCUCAGGAUGCGAGUCAUAGGUCGGAAUACAGCCAACGACUAUACAGAAAAUUCAAAAAGGCUCAGAUCACUAAUCAAACACUCGAACCUUACAAUUUGCUAAAGUUCAAUAUGUUACACCAUAGGCUUGUGGCCAUCAAGUGUCCUCUUGGCAUUAGGUGGCAUUAUGCACACUCCCGGCCACAGGUUGUUAGGAGUUCCGGAAUUCCUUCACGUUAAGUCACUAGGGUCCUUUUCUUAACCCUACAAUAUCAACAUUUUAAGUUCAUAUCCAUUACAUCAUCAUUCCUAUGUUCCAAUGGCACUAGAUUUUCUAUAUCAUAUGUCAAGUUCUCUACUUCCCUAGAGAAUGUCCUUUAUGCAUCUAGUCCAUAACCUAGGUUCGUUCCACCAUGCAUGCACACAUAACAUUACACCAUGAGAAUUAGCAUUCUAGUUAUCAUGCAUUACUAGCCAUAUGUAAAAAUAUAUCCGCAUGCAUUUAAUAAUUUUUACAACAUAUGUUGAAUUCCACAAGUUCCUAUCAUUUAUUCUUUUAGUUUAAGUACUAUACUUUAGACAUGAGAGGUGACCAAGUCACUUCGGUGCACACAACCCACCUUGAGCUUGAUAGCGCACUCUAUUUGCUUGUAAUCACUUGCAAAUAGAGCCUCCUUCCUUGAGCUACAAGUUUAUCCCCAAGUUUCUUACCCUAACACAAGAAAAAUGUUUCGUUACCAUUUCUGAACCCCAAAACCAUUUUACGUCAUGGAAUCAUAUUGCCCCCCAUGAUUUUCUAUCCCUUAAUUAAGCUUUUAAAGGGUUAAACAAUUUUAGAAUCCGUAAAUUCAAAAACCCUCUUCUAACCUAGGGUUUCCCAUAAAUUAUGGCAAAACCCAAUUCCACACACUAAUCUCUACAAUUUGUAGUUUAGAUUAGUUUAGGGUUUGACAAAAACUCAUUUAGAAACUUUAAAUCCAAAACCCUAGUGGGAAAAUUCCAAAAUCUCACUUUAGUCUCAAGCUCUCACUUCUUCUUGGUCAAGAAGAAGAACUCCACCACCAACUCUAUUUUUCCAAGCUAAACCUCUCAACUUGCAAGCUUAGAAAGUGCUCCAAUGGUGAGGGAGAUAAGAGAGGAGAAGAGAGAGUGAAGAGGGAGAGAGUUCUUUUGAGGUCUCCAACAAGAAAGAGGGCUAGGGUCCCCCUCUUUUAUAGUGGGUUGCACAAUUGUAGACGGCCUUCAGUUUCGGUACCGAUACACGCCUUCAGUUCCGGUACCCGGUUCUCAGUCCCGCAAAAUCCGAACAUUGAAUUUUCGAACACUUUAUUGCGUACUGGUACCCGAUCUCACGUACCAGUACCCAAUAGUAAAGUUUAUGACUCUAAUACGGGUACCCAAACUUGAUUCCCUCAAAAUCGGAGAGCUAAUUUUCCAGCAUUUGUACUACGUACCGGUACCGAACCUCGUGUACCGGUACCCAGUACAAAAUCCACAGAUUUUGUUCCAGUACACAAGUCUCAGUAUGUCAAUACCCGAGAGCAGGUUUUCCACUGUCUGUAUUGUGUACCGGUACCUAGUACCUACUACCGGUACCCAAUGCAAAAUCUGCAGUCUUAGCAUAUCUGAGUAUUUGGAGCUUGUUUUCGCGCCAAAAUCGCGCCGUAAACGCCCAAAUACUUCCCAAACCCUGCCAGCACUACUAGCACAGCUCUACAUACUACAUCUCACUGGAACUCCACAGUUUGUAGAAAUUCAGUACACUACAGGCGAUGGUAAAAAAUUUAAACCCAUUUGUUAUAAGCCUUUCAAGAUUCUACGCAAAAUUGGUGAGAAUGGUUAUCAAUUGGAGCUGCCCGCAUACAUGAAAAUGUAUUCAGUCGUCAAUGUUGAGAACCUAAAACCCUUCGAGCCGUUAAUGCUGGAUGAUGAAUCGAGAGAAGUAUUACAAUCUGUGGAAGAUCUCGUAGUAGAACAUAAAGAGCAACUUGCUGAGAAUACUAUCCUAGAAUGCAAGAUCACGACGACACGCAAAGGUGAACGUGAAUCCUUCCGUGUUGGACGGAAAGGUCAAAAGCCAAAUGCCGCUAAGUGGUUCACAAGGGAAGGUGGGGAAGCUCAGUUCCCUCACUUACAAUUCUAGAUCCAGCAAGUACUAGUUCCUCUCAAAAAUUAGGGAGCCAUGAUCUGGGACAAUCAAAAUUUCGGAUAAUCUCAAUCAUUUGCGGAUAAAGCGGAGGUGGUUCCAACUUCAGUUAGGAUAAGCAUUGAGAUAGUUUGAACGAACUAUUUCGGUUAGGAUAAGUAUCGAGAUAGUUUCAGUGGAUCAGAAGAAGGAUCAAAUUGUUAAACCUAAUUGGAUAAGAGUAUAGCCAAUUUGGAUGAGUAAAAGGAUGUUAUUUUCAAGUAUUUUGUUCUUAUCUUCUUGUAAGCCUGAAGGCUAUAAGUAGUGGCCCUACUGGCUCUAGUAAAAGGCACUCCAGUUUAGAAAGAGUUAAUAUACAAACUCUUCCACAUAAAAAAUAUUGUAUUCUUUUUUUUCUUUUUAAUUUGAUUUCAAAUAUCGAUCGGGGAGGCGCUAUGACAUUGCUUCCUCCUCCGACGGAUCAGCUAUAUGUUACAUACUUUAGCAAAAUUGCUUAUUAAGUCUGUGCGGCGCUCACCUUCAUUCGUAAAGUGUGGAAGUCUACCUCUCCGCUUAGUAGUUUGGACCUACUCUUCCUAUGACUAGUACAAACAAGAGAGUGUUAAGAAAUAUUGUAUUCUAUUGCUUGAGAGUGGAAAGAAACAAUUUAGUCAUCCUAAGAGGGUGGAGAACACAAAUGUAUAUAGACCACUAGCCGCUCAAGAGAGCAAAUAGAAAAGCACCAAGCAACGCAAAACUACAAAUAAGAGCUAGAGGCUACGAGCAAGGAGUCUACAUUUAUUAUAACUCCAAGAAACCCUAAAAGGCUCUUGACUCUUCUUGGCUUCCACGUACACGGUCUUGAGUCUCACAGAGAUGCUUUUAAAAGAUUUUUUGGCAAAACUUCUGAUAGUAAUCCCCUUUGAAAUGUGUGUUGGGAAAUAUGAAUGAGGAUCAAAUAAAUUAUGAUCUUGAGGUGUGUAGAUUUACUUUCUUUAGGGCGUGUUUGGUUUGGACUAUUCUGCCAGGAUUAUAGGCAGUCCUACUCGGAUUACUACGUUUGGUUCAUCCAGUCUGUAAUGUAAUCGGUAAUAUAGCAUUAUAAAUGGAGCAGGAUUUACUCCAAAAAUAUUAUCGAGCAGGGUGCGGAUAACACAUAUUACUCAUGGCAGGUUAUCUUGCAUGUUAUUUAAAAUUACAAAUUUAACACUCCAACAUCUCGCGCUAUCAAUAUGUCGUUUUUAAAUUUUUACUUAAAAUUUUCAAUUAUCAAAUUUUUAAUUUUAAUUUUAAUUUUUCAAAUUUUUAUUUUUUAUUUUCAAAUUUUAAAUUUUAAACUUUUUAAUUUAUAAAUUUCAAAUAUAAAAUUUUAAAUUCUAAAUUUCAAUUUUAAAAUUUAAAUCGUAAAAUUUCAAUUUUCAAUUUUUAAUUUCUAAUUUUCAAUUUUCAAUUUUCAAUUUUAAAAUUUUCACAUUUUAAAUUUUAAAUUUAAAUUUCAAAUUUCAAAUAUCAAAUUUAAAACUUAAAUUUUCAAUAAUAAAAUUUUAAAAUUUUAAAAUAAUAAAAUUUUAAAUUUUAAAAUUUAAAACUUAAAUUUUAAAUUUUAAAAUUUUAAAUUUUUAAAAUACUAAAAUUUUAAAUUUUAAAAUUUAAAAUUUGAAUUUGAAAUUUAGAUUUUAGAAUUUUAAAUUUUAAAUGUCAAAUUUAUAUUUUAAAUUCUAAAUUUUAAAUUUAAAUUUUAAAUUUAAAUUUUAAAUUUUAAAUUUAUAUUUAUAUUUUUAAUUUAUUUUUUAAUUUUUAAAUUUAUAAAUUUUAUAUUUAUAUUUUUAAAUUAAAAUAUUAAAUUUUAUAUUUUUGUCUAGAUUUAAAAUUUAAAAUUCAAAUUCAAAUUCAAAUUUUAAAUUAUUUAAAAUAAAAUUUUGUAAAAAAAUUUUUACUUGUAAACAGUAAAAAUUUUUGCCACAUUAGACUAAAGGGCAAUUGUCACGCCCCAGAUUACAUGGUUUUCCGGGCACGCCAACAGACCUGCCAUAUACAAUGAAAUUUUCUUCUGUAUACGAAGCGAAGCUAUACUAAAUUAUAAUCAAACAACACUACAACCAGUAGUAUAGAGCUGCUAAAAAAAUAAACAGGUAAAACUGAAAGCAAGUUUCAUAUACAUACAUAAUAUUUAGAUACAAAAGUACUCGCUCCAGCGAAUUAUAAUAUCUGUAUGUACAUGAACUCAAAAAUAAAAGAACCACUACCUGCUAAAGAUGAUCCUCUAUCUCGGCGACUCGUUUAGUAGGGCUCUACUCACAACGCCCUUGCCACGGUCGAUCUCGAAGGAUGCAACAGCCGGAACCGAAGGCUCUGCAAAAGAAGGGUAACAACAGGGCGUGAGAACUACUAUAAAAACAAGUAGUCCUUAGUAGGUACCGCCCUCAACAUCGUCGGUCCAUCCACCAAGUCUACAGAAGGGAGCAAAGAUAGUAGGAAAAGCUGGAAGAAAACUACAGCUAAAAGCCCCUACACUAUCAUGCUCUAUUUUAAUCAACUGUAGUAACUGACCCAAUCUCACUGGGGACUGUAAGCAUACCUGUCCCUGGGAAUGUGAACACACCCAUCCCGCCCAGUUGCGACUAUAUAGCUACCUCCACACUAAGCGGUCAGUGGAGAGCAAGUCCAACCUGCACGAACGACACCAACGCGGAAGCACAACGCCCGUCUCCGGAGUGGCACUCGUGAGAGCUACCCAACCGAGUAUGCAGCGUAUCUCUGUCGAGCUCAAUCCGGCUCUCACAAGCCCAAGUCAAGUAACAGGGUCCAACUGGUCUAACAACCAACAAGUCACAUGCCCUCGGCACAAUCUGAUGCCAAAACGGCGAUAUAGGUCCACUGUCAAUCCCGACGGCCCCCAACAGUCCGGAAUAGUCUGAAUGCUACUGUAAAAAUACACUCGGCAUCCCAGCACAAGCGUAACAGAAAUCUAAACUACCUGAGGUAUCCACCACGCCGAUACUGCGGCGAUACAAAAUAACAACGGCUCCUAGAGCUAAAUCAGGUAGUUUAAGCAUAUGACAAAUUAUAAUCGCAGUUUUCUCCUAAGUCAAAUUCAAGUCCAACAUGUGUAGUAUAUACUGGCAAAAGACGAAGCUCCAAUUCAGAUUUUUAAAGUAACAAUAUGCAAUCCAUGAAUCGAGCCAUCUAAAUAUACAAACUAACACGAUAAACACAUGCCGACUAUAAAGCUAUUUAGGAGGUAAACCAACGAUUAACCCACCUCAAACGCUACUCCCAAUCCGGCGCGACGUCGAGAACGGCGGAAUCGCACCCUCGCCCGGCCUCCCUGCGACGCUACGACGAUGAACGCACGUUCAAACGGCACCGCGGCGCGACGUCGGCGACGAUCCAACUCCACCCGAGCUCCUCCCUCCAUGCACGACUCAAGAGCAAGAGAGAGAGAGUUAGAAAGUGCACACCUCAGAUAAUUAAGUUGAUAUGCAUGGAGGGAGUAGGUGUGGCAUCCUUAUCCACAACUCAAAAGAAACAAACAAGGAUACUACAGUAAUUUUGGAAUAGACAAUAUUUUAUUGUCAGAAUUACUGAAUUUUAUAAAAUGAACCAAACAUAGUUAUUCUAUAUACGUUGUACAUUAUUAUAUUAUUACUACAUUAAACCAAACACAGUAAUGCAGUAGUAAUCUGAUUCAAAAAUCUCAAAUACAUGGUUAUGUCGAAAUAACCUGUAAUGCUGCGUAACGCAAACCAAACACGCCUUAAGAUAAUAUUUGGUCCCACUCAAAUGCAUGUUGUCAGGUUACUAAUAAAUCACCUUUAGGAUGUUAUAAGACCACUGAAGACCGAAACCAGCAUUUUUGAAGAUUUUUUCUCAAAAACUUCUCUUUUAAGAAUCAGCAUGAAAAUUAGGAAGAAAAAAGAAUUUAUUACAUUGCCUUUGAUGCCUUCAAACAUUUUCUAUUUAUAAGAGAUAAUAGCUACGAUGAAAUGACACAACUUUUUAAAUUAUAUUUUUUCACAAAAAGACAUGUUUUUUCACAAAUAGUGAGAAGAUAUAUUCUUUCACAAAGAAUUCAUCUUUUUGUGAAGAAACAUAUCUUUUCGUAAAAAGACACAUCUUUACAUCAAAUGAAAAGACAUAUUUGUUCAUUUGAAUAACUAAUUCAUCAAAGAAACAGAAUCAUUCAUUUAAUUUUAAUUUUAAUUUUAAUUUUAAUUUUAAUUCUUCGAGUUAUUUUCUCAUAUCUAUUAUUACAAUAUAUGCUAGCAAUGUGGGUGAUUGCAAAAGAGAAACAUGGAAGAAACACUAAAGGCCUGUUUGGCCUAACUUCUAAAAAAGUGAUUUCUGAAAAAGUGAUUUUAGUUUGGAGAAUUGAUUUUGGUUAAAAGUUGUAGAGCGUUUGGCAGAGUUUAGAUAAAAGUGAUUUUUCUGAAGUGAUUUUGAAAAACUGUUUGGCAAAUUUUUUUUGAUGUUUGCAUAAAUUAAUAUUUUUAUUAAAUUUUAUUUUAAAAUAAUUUAAAAUCUAAAUUUAAAUUUGAAUUAAAAUUAAAAUUUUUAAAUUUCAAAAUUGUACAAAAUUUAAAAUUUGAUAUUUUAAUUUAAAAAAUAAUUUAAAAUUUUAAAAUUUUAAAAUUUAAAAUAAUUAUGAAAUUUAAAAUUUAAAAAUAUAAAUAUAAAUUUAAAAAUAUAUAUAAUUAUGAAUUUUAAAAUAUAAAAUUUUAAUAUAUAAAAAUAUAAAUUAAAAUUAAAAUUUCAAACUUUAAAUUUAGAAUUUAAAAUUUAAAAUUUAAAAUCUAAAUUUAAAAUUUAAAAUUUAAAAUUUAAAUGUAAAAAUAUAAAUAAUUAUGAAAUUUCAAAUAUAAAAUAUUAAUAUUUAAAAAUAUAUUUAAAUUUUAAAUUUCAAAUUUCAAAUUUUAAAAUUUAAAAUUUAAAAUAAUUAUGAAAUUUAAAAUUUGAAUAUUUAAAAUUUGAAUAUUUAAAUUUUAAAUUUUAAAAUUUUAAAUUUUAAAUUUUAAAAAUUCGAAAUUUAUAAUUUGAAGAUUAAAAAUUAUAAUUUAAAAUUUAAAAAUUUUAAAUUUUAAAAUCUAAAAGAAGUUUGAAAUUUGAAAAUUAAAAGUUGAAAUUUGAAAUUUGAAAUUUGAAAAUCUAAAAUUUGAGAUUUGAAACUUAAAAUUAAAAUUUAAAAUUUAAAGUUUCAAAUCUACUUUUCAAAAUUUAAAAUUUAAAAAUUCGAAAAUAAAUCUGAAAAUUAAAAUUUAAAAUUAAAAUUAAAUUUAAAUAUUGAAAUUAAAAUAAAAAUAAAAAUUUGAAGUUUAAAUCUAAAAUCAGAAUCAGAUUUUAAGAAGCAGUUUUUUUCUGCUUCUGAUUUUGGGCCUUCAAAAUCAGUUUUCUGAUUCUAAAAAGCCGAAUCAGAUUUUAAAAAUAAUUUGCCAAAUGCUCUAUUGAGUCAAAAAUCACUUUUCAGCCCAAAAACGUUUUUUAAAAGCUCGGCCAAACACCCCCUAAGUCCCUCACAGAUAGCUAUGUUAGAUCUGUACGCUUCAUGGCUUCUUAACCAAGAAUAUUAUACAUUUUUGGCGUGCUUUAAAACACGUGCAUUGUGGGUACCCAGAGACAGUACUAGCAAUUGCACCGACUGCUCUUUGUUCCCAUAAAAGUCUGUAAGCAGUAGCAGCCGUUGGUGGCUUCGGCCGUAGAAUAAUUUUAUGCGUGAAGCAUUCAAUGUGACGGCGAAUUUGAAUGUAAUGCCGGAUUUGCAAGAAAAGUUUCCCCAUCUCUUCUUUCACUUUGCCCGGAGGGAAAAAAAACAGCGGAAAAGGAAGAAAAAACAACAACUACUACUACUACUACUACUACCAUACAGAGAGAGUCCGCAUCUGCACCUUCAACAGCAAAGAAUAAUCUUGUCAUGCAUUCUAAUUAUAUAGAGAGAGAACUAUGCUAUUAUACUAUAAAUAGACCAAGCUAUCGGUAUUAGAAUAAUCAGUCUUCUAGAAUUAACUAGGUGAUUGAUUGAAUAGUACGAUCAAACGGUUGAUAAUGAUUAAAUAAGUUAAUUUAACGACGAAAAGUUUGAUAGCACUAAAUACUUCGUGCUUUUGAUAGUAUAGCAAUUGGACUAUAUAUAUAUUAUAGUAUAUAUAUAUAUUAUAAUAUAUAUAUAUAUAUAUCACCGUUAAACUUGCAAACGGCUCACCACGGCUAUUAAAAUUAUAAUUUGAGGCCCCUUCGAUCACUAGGCAUGAUAUCGAAAAAUCAAAAACUUAUUUCUAGAUACUUCAAAUACUCUAGGUCAAGUCUAACGGAGCCGAUCGUCGAUUCGAAAGCCCGAACAUCGAAAACAACUUGAAAGCACGAAGAGUUCCGUACUUCCAGAAGCAUACCAACCUCUCUCUCUCUCUCUCUCUCUCUCUCUUUAUAUAUAUAUAUAUAUAUAUAUAUAUAAUUUAGCUCUUCGUAAGGAAGCAUCAGAAUUUUUAAUUUUUAACAAUUAUACCGCCGUAACCGACCAUCAGAAUUUUUAAUUUUUAACAAUUAUACCGCCAUAACCGACCGUUCCUAAAGCAAGUGGCAAAUAGUAAAUUCACAUUUCCAGCUAAAUUUAUUUCUAAAUAAAAUAAAACGAAGCGGAUAGCAUACUACCUAUCUCUCGAAAAAAGAAAAAAAAAAAACAAUUAUACCCCCAUAGACUUUAUCAUUAGACAGCUCAAGAAAUCUCUCUUCAAUUGAAGUUCAUAGUUACACACAUUUUGCACCGAGUCUUGUAGAACUUCUAAAUCCAAAAUAUACAUAAAUGUGCAUAUAAUGUAGAGCUCUCAUGCUUCCAAAAACAUAAAAGAAUUGAUGCUUGACCGUUUGACUCUUGAUAAAAAAUUAUAGAAUUGAGAUAAUAAUAAUCUCCUCCAAAAUAUAGUAUACUCUAUGAAAAUAAUAUUAAUCUAAAAAUUAAAAAUGAUCAAAAGAUUGAUCUAAUAGUUAAGAAAUUAGAAACACCGUAUGACCGGUGCACUUUGGGGAGCAUCACAGUGCUUUAGUAAGCAUCAGUGGACUCUCAUUUGCACAAAAAUAAAAUAAAACAAAAAACUACUCAACAGUACAUACACUGAAACAUUUACACACUCAAAUGAUCAUGUACAUUUUUGGCGACAUCUACCAAUUUUUUGUCAAUUUCGUCGAGAAAAUUCAAAUUCGAACUUCACAUAUAGUGAACGCAAAAAGGGCUAGCAUAAUAUACUUCACAUAUAGUGAACGCAAAAAGGGCUAGCAUAAUAUAGGAAAUGGAAGAGAUAUAUAUACAACAAGAACGCUAACCUCCACCACACUUAGCUCUCUGUGAAAAGAACUAAAAAAUACACAAUUCUCAAAUAUAAUUUCCCACCAUGUAUCUAAUAAUAUACCGUCGGAAAUAAAGAAGAACAAAAUAUUUUAUGUGAUGAAACAACCACUUCUUCAAUCUUAAGAUAACAUACCAACACUUUACUAUGUUAGAUACACAGCAAAUAAGCCCCAGCUCACUGUGUUAUCACCGUACAAGAAUACAUAGGAGUAGCCGCUACAAAUAAACUUAAAUAAAACAGCAUGUAUUAACUGCAAUAUUUUUUAGAAUGUUGCAAACACAAGCCACCAAAGCCCAUAUCAAAGACAACAGCUUUUGCCGAAAUAGCGAACUCGAAAUCAUAAUAAAAAACAGUUCACAAACACACAUGAAGAGAGAACGGGCGAAGGUACAUGACCAUAUAUGAUUACAUCUUACAGAAUUACAUAUUCAUUCUAUAAAUCAGUUAAAUUUAAUAAGCAUACGGGCUGUCAUUAGCACUAAGAGCUGCAUAUAUAAGGCAGCUAUGGGCGGCAACUGAGACCAGCAACAUAGAAUAUAUAGACUAAGAAGAUAUAUAUUUACAUGAUAGGUUGAAAAAGUGCAACAAAGUGCAACCCUCUCUUACUAUCUUCUUCAGAACAUAUAUUAUAUAUAUUUAUAUAUUUAAUAAAGAGCAGCAGACAAAUUUCACAAGCAAAAAUCGAGCAAACAACCAAAACUGUAGUAAAGGAGACCUCCGGAGGAAAGCAUCAUCCACUAGGAAGAUAAGGUAAGGCUUACUACAUAACAGCACAACCCCACAACGAAAAGGCUGUUGCUUUUGCCCAUUCAUUCAUUAGUAUUACUUUCUGUCCACUUGAAAGGACCUGCAUAAUGGAUGACAGACAAAAGUUAAGUCUUUCUCUGGUAUAAUAAAGGGGCAAGAAACAGUCGGGAGCUCCUGCUGUGGCACAAAGAUAAAAUGAGCUUUUGGUCUCAAAAAGUAGAAAAGCUCAGAUGCGAAGCUUCUACUUCUGCUACAAGCUACAUAAAUAUAUAACAUGAAAGCCCAUAAUUACUUCUUCAAACAGUUAUACUUGAAAAGAACUUCCGCAGAAGCCUCAAUUGGGCCAAACAGGCCUUUAAUUUAGCGUGUAUUCCAAACAUGUGUCAUCUAGUGUAUUCUGAAAGCAUCACUUACAGUGCCAUAUCAAAAGGCAACCCUAGCAGUUACUCUAAAUCAACUGAAGAUGUAAGCAAGCAGCCCUUCAAUUCUCUAACAGCUGCCACUUUUUCUUCCGAAGCAGCAGUACUCUCUUCAACCCCUGAGUUUAGUGUGGCUGGAUUCAUCUUCUGGACCUCCUCUCGUGUAUAUAUGAAGAUUUUACGCACCAUUCUACAAAAUUCGCUGUUUCAAGAGAGAAAUUUAGUUGAUAUAAAUGCAUUCUGAAGAUUAGCAUUUCCACAUCAAGACAACAUGUAUAAAGCUGCAUAAAAUAUUGAACACUUACGGCCAUGGAUCAUCUCCAACCAGCAUCAUAUCUCCCUCAUCAUCCGUGUAUACAACCCGCCAAUUUUUUAGGGGAGCCUUUAGCUCGCCUUCGAAUUCAAACAUCCGAUCCAACUCAGCAAUCAACUCAUCAUAGUUGUUGAACUUCAUAAGGUCCACGGACCUGCCAAGGGCAAUUCCCUGCUUAUGCACCUGAAAAAUAAAAAAAAGUCUCCGCUAACACUAAUCCAAAAACUAGAUCCCAUUAACUAAUCUUGAGAAAACUGUACAAAUACUUCAUAAUUGUAUACUGCAUUCCUUGAUAAAUAUAAGCAACAUUGACAACAGCAACACAGAAGAAUUUGGUUCCAUCCUUCCACAACUCCUGAUUUAGAAACUCGGUCAUAUAGCCUGAAUAAAACCAAUAAUGGGAGUUUUGAAACAUUAAAUUUUUCAACAGAUAAAUCCCUUUGUCAAUAUAAAAAUGUUUCACCGAAGAUAGGGAAUCAUGAUAAGAACAGCUUAUAAGAUGAUGAUGAAAGUCUGAUGCUCGUCCUGGGCAAAUGUUUUCUCCGAAAUUUGUAAGAACUAAAAGCAGUCGAUGACACCUAAAAGGUGUUAAACUAUUCAUUUAUAGCAAUGCAAGAUUCAGUAGACUCCAAAUUUGUGAGGAAAUGAGAGAUCCUUUCUACUUUCAAUUCGAAAAAAAUAGGGAAAACAAAACCGAAUUAAAAAACAUAUUGAUAAAAAGCCUCAUAAUUUUGCCCACAUUCUUGUUCUUCUAGUGUAAUGUAUGACCCUAUAAUUACAACGAUUCAGCUCAGACUCCUAAAUAGAACAUGCCACCUUGCUUGUUUACUACCCAAAAAUCGUAUUAAGAAAACUAACCGCAUGCAAUCAUGAUACAUGAAAAAAGAGAAUAUUAAUUAUGUACGACAAAGUACCUUUGUGCAGCUCCUUGUUGAGCCACCAUGAAGUUUGCUCUGAACAUCUUUAAAAGAUGGUUGACAAGGCUGAGUGUUUUUCUCCAUAUUACAAUUUGUAGCAGCAUCAAUUGACUUUGUAACCUUGGGUGGCUCAGAAUACUUUUCUGUAUCUCUCUGCUGUGAUUUCUGCCGUGUUGCUUUUUGUAGAACAUUCAACUGUGGCUCAUAAGGCAAACUGGUUGGUGGAAAGGCUGGUUCAGUUGUCGCAGGACUGCUGUUAAUCUGAAUCCCAAAUAGCUUACAGCUAGCACCUGCUUUAGGUUUCGCAACAUCACCUUGAGCUGAUGAAGGCUGAGGUUUCGUCGACCUAUUUUGAGAUAAAUUUUCCAUUUGACCAGGCACAAAAUGGCCAAACCAGUUUGAAGAACUCUGAUCAAUCCCUGGGCUCUGCAAUGCGGAAUAAGCUGCUCCCUGGCCACCAUAUCUACUAUUUCCGGUUUUCUGAUAAGGUAGCUCGACAGCUUGAGAAGUCAACUGCCCAUUAAUGCUGAAGGCAGAAUUCACAGGCAUUAAAGGCCACGAGCUAGGAUAGAUAGUAUUUUUGCCUUCCUGAUCUUGAUAAUGUGUCCUCCACAGAUUUACAUCACUCAAAGUUGGGUUGAAGAAUGAACAAAAACCAUGUGAACCACUAGGAGUUUGAUAAUGUGCUUUCUGAGCUGCAUAACGAGCUUUUUCACGCAUUGGAGGCCACAAACCAGGCUUUAGAGCCGUGUUCGACUCAUUGCUAUCAGGAAACGUGUUUUUCAAGGCCGUGACUUCUUGAUCUUGCAAGACCCUUGGAAGGCCGUGGUGUUGAGAAGGGUCUGCAGUGACUUUUGAAGAAGCUGGAAGCAAAAAAUGGUAGAUAAGGCAUAUGAUAAUAAAACUCUCCAAAUCACUCUAAUCUUUCUAAGUCAACAUUAAAGUAAGCACCUUCUUUUGUAAGAACUGAUGAAUCGGGGGAGGAUGGAACAACAUUAGACCGAAGCCUCUUAGGUCUCGAGAGUGGAAGAGGGUUCAUGGGAGGAGGGAUAACAGCAGGUUCAAUUUUCCAUGGAGAAACUCUCUCUGGACGAGGAAUAGAAGAAGUUUCAUCCCAUCUCACCUGAAAUUUAAACAACAAUAUACAUCAAACUAUCUGACUACAACAUAGACUAAGUUGUUAGGAAUUACCUUAAGACUCCUCCACUUUGAUCCAUGCCACCUAUUUGGAUCGGCAUCACCUAUCCCCACAAUCGUCCCAGUGAACCUGUGAGUAAAAAUUAAAAGAUUUUAGACCAACAUUUUCAAAUUUUGGCUCCACGUGACUUCAAAUUUUUGCGAUGUAAUUCCAAUUGAGUCACAUUGGAAUCCGAAACAGCUUAUACCUCUGCUCUGGAGCCUCUUCACCCUCAAAUCUCAUCUUGAAUCUCAUCCCUAUCGAAUGGUUGCUCUUGAGGGACUCCAUGUAUUGGUGAUACGGGACAAUAAAUUCAGACGGACUUGUCCUAGUAGAUCACAAAAUAUUCAAAAAAACAUAAUAAGAAAAGGGCAAAUAGAACAGAUUGAAUUGGAAUUAGACGUGGUUGUUUGUAGAAUCCUUAAGUGGCUAGUUGGCCUAGCUUAUGCAUCUGUUUUCAGCUAAAAUCCCCCAGUAGAGCAUUUGGCAAGUGGAGGAAGUCUAGAACUAGUCCAGAACUUCCUUUUGUCGUAAGAACUUGAAAUGACAUAUCCAGCCCGAUAAGAAGCUCCAAUUUGGUGCCUCUUCUACUAUCAAGAGAGAAAAGUAAUUGGGGCCUUUUUUUAUUUUUUCUUGCGACAGCUAUCGGGCAUAUUUCAAUACAGUACUUCUCCUAAUGCAGCUACUCAAACAGCACUUCAGCAAAGGCGCACUGCACCCUACAGCAAGGUCAAACAAGCACUAAAAAAAGCCUUUACACUCCUUCAAAUAAUAGCUCCAACAGUGAACUUAACGUGCCAUAGGAGAUAUAAAAUUAAAAAAGUCACAAGGAAGCAGAAGGAAACCUAGGUUUAUAGUAGACAGUGAACAUGGUCCCUGUGUUAACAGCAUGCCAUGCUGUCGCAAGAACACCAAGGUGCAUACUGUGGCUUGAUAUGACUGAAGAAGGAACAUUUGUCUGUUGUCUCAUUGCGCGCCGGACCCCAACUCUUAGUUCGCCAUUCUCUCCUCUGCAAAGAACACAAAUGAAAAGUUAAGUACAUUGGGACGAUAACGGCAUGGCUUACUUCAUGUGACAAGAGAAGUUGACCUCAGAAAUAUAAAAGCAUCCCCAGCGACGAGCCGUUUGGAACUAACGAAAACACUCCAGCCACUCUGAAGCAGGUGCCUCCGCGGUUGGCCUAAGAAUUUUGAAACCAUAGGAGGAAACAAACAUAUUCUGUAAGAACAAAAUCAUUUCAUUCCAAAUGUAGAAUUAUUUUUGUGAAACAAAAUAUAUAUAUUAUAUUUAAGACAGAAUAACAAAUGCCUCCUCGAACAUAUAAUCACCUUAUACAGGCCAGCAGCAUCAAAACAUUGAACGAAACACAACUUUGUAUCCGAAAAAAGAGGAAACACAAAACAUGUAGAAAACAUGAUAUCCUUAACUCAACAUUUACUACUUAAGAUCACUUCUCACUUGUGAACCAACAAACAGCAAACACAGAAUUUCUAAGAAAUAUCACUAAAGACUGAAGGAAAUUUGACACAAUAUUCUCUACUUUCAGGCUCUAAUAAGUAUUACUAGAACCAACAUUUAUUUUCACCACCACAUUCCACUUGCUCUCUUCUGUUAGCAAAGCGAAAGACAUUUGCUAAAACUCCAUACCAGGACAAUAAAAUCAAGAAAAAGAAGACCAAAAGACUUCACUGUAAGAUAUGGGUGCAACUACCACAGAAAUAUAUGUUAGGAAAUAACAGAGCAGCAUACACAGAAGGGGAGGAAGCGCACAACGUUAAGAGUGAAAUACAGGCUAAUGAGAUCAGCGAAGAAUUACCCCGAAAAAUGUGGCGGAAGCGCCAUUCGACGCUAUGCAAAUCCUUAGCCACCAACUCCUGGGAAGGUGGCUGGCGAGUCAUAUCCUAACCAAGCAUAACACACAAGCAACUCGUUUACACAGUAAAUGGAUAACCAAAACCAAACCAACAUAUCAACACCAACAACCAACGUAUCCCUGAAGCACAGAAGAGGGGCAUCGUGUGGACUACUGACCAGAGGGGGGAGGCACUCGUCAGCAUGGCGUCGCAGCACGGAGAACCCACCGUGCGUGCUCGUAUCCGAUGCGGUCAGCGUCUUGCAGAAUGAGUGCACGUGCGGCCGCGGCGGGGGCGGCGGCGGCACCGCAUCCUUCUCCGCGGAGAACUCGUCUAGCUAAAACGACAAACAGAUGGGGUGCGAGAAUUAGACAGGAUAAAUUCUAGCAAGCUAUAGCACAAAUUCAACAAAAAUUACCCAAAUCCGCACAAGAAUUAAAUAAAGUGCGCAUCGAAGAGAAUUAAGGGAUCGCAGCAAAAAGUACCUUCGAUUCGGGAAUUAGAGUCACCUGGGCGUACACCUCGUCUGUAUCCACCUCUGCCUACGGAAAGAGAACAAUAACCUCCCAUAAGAGCCUCAAGAUCGGAAAGAGUGGAAUCGGGGGAAAGGGUUUGAUCUCGCGAUUAUACCUUCAAUUCGACGUUCAUCACUCGACAGAGGAUCUUCCAGGGGAGAUUGUAGACGGGCAUCUGCUGAUCCGCGACCUGAUUCGUCGAAGCCUCCACCUGAUAAUUCACCAGAAAAUUAAGGCUAAAAGCGCCCAAUUGGGAACAAAAGAUACCGCAUGAAAAGAUAGAUUUCGGAAAAAAGGUAGGAGGAGAAGGAGAUCACGUAGAAGAGGGAGCUCCUCAUAGCACGGAUACGGAGAAGGGAUUCAACCUGCUCUAUAUGGCCCUGAGGGAAGUAGAACACCAGGUCCUGCACUCGCGGCACCGUCACCAGCGGCCCCGCGCAAGCGUGCCAGAGCUCGUUGUAGAGCGCGUCCUCCGAGACUGCGACGGAGAAGAAGAAACAAAGCCCUAAUCAGCCCAGAACAGUAACCCUGGAUAAAGCCCCGGAACUACUCCGGCGAAGCUCCGGCGAUCAACGGGGCCUUACCGUUCGCGCCCCCCGGAGCGCCCGCGCUGACGUGGCCAGCGUCUCCGCCGGCCUCUCCGCCGCCGCGGCCAUCGACGGGCUCGCUGCAACUGGACGAGGAGAAGCUGGGCUCGCUGCGUCCAUUGCUCCCCUUCACCGACACCUCCGACGACGCCAUCACGAACCCCACCUCCUCCCCCGCCUCCCAAGCUCCAGAUCUCUCAUCCACACUCCCAAUCCAAACCCUCCCUCGCUAAAACCCACCCCCCACCCCACUAAAACCCUAAUUCCGGAGAUCCAAAAACCCUAAAAAGCAACAAGGAACUACUCUCCUUCCCCGCAACACAAAAACCCUAAUCUCCUCUCCAAUCCACCCCUCCUCCGCUCGAUUUAUCCCCCCAAUUCCCUCUCCUUCUCUCUCCUCCCCAGCUAUUUUUCUUAGGGCGUCAGAGGAAGAGCGCAGAGUCAGAGAAAGAAGACGACGCCCAGUUGCCACAGAAGCUUUGGGACGGUCGUCGACCAAAAACAAAAGAAAGUAAGAGAGAGAGAGAGAGAGAGAGCGAGAGAGAGGGGUUGAGCUUUAACUUAACCGGGGGGUCAAAAUCCCCGUGCAAUCAUCUUAACCCCGGUCAAAUUUCCGUAAUAGCAUGCUCCCUGCACCAGGCUCACCACGUCAUCCGUCGACCACCCAGCAAUCCACCGUCCACCGCAUCGCUUCCGUAAAUCUGCAGCGUUCGACGGUCUACGUGGUGGACCGAGUAAGGCAAUAAUACUUUCCGCUAAUUCCAACCGGCUUUGUUGAACCGGACGACACCUUCGAACCGGACCGGUUCGGAUCCCCCUCAACGUUGGCGUUCUCACCGAGGGAGAAUGGGGCUUUGUCUCGCUAUCAAUAGGCAACCCCUAUUCACGAGAAUUGUUUAUUUAUUUAUUAUUAAUUAUUAAUUUUUAUUCCCUUAUUAGGCCACGUUUCGAUUGGAGAUAAGGAGUGUAAUAACUUUUUAUCCCCUUUAUAUUUAAAUGCUAAUUUUUUAUUUAAAAAUAGUAAUUUUUGGAUAUUCGAAAUAAAUUGAUAUAACUAUUUUCAUCAACAUCUUCAUUUUCUAUAUAUAACUACUCAUUAUUUUUCUCAUUUCAUAUUAUUUAUCCAAAUGUUAUUUUUUUUAUUUCCGGAAACAAUCCAAUUUUCAUCCAAAUGCUAUUUUUGUUAUCUUCAUACUUAUACCUAUCUCUAUUUCUGGUUUAUACCCGAACCUUAUUUUAUUAUUAUAAAAAACACAAUUAAUUAAUUAUAUAUUAAUUUUUAUUUAUAUUUAUAUAUAUAUAUGCGGUAUGCGGUCGAGCUGCCUAACUAUGGUUACUUUUUAUCGUCGCGAAGGGUUAGACACGUGUCCCGCAAUGAGAGGGGAGUGCGGGGCCCACUGUCCGAUGAUGAAUCUGGGCCGUCCGAUUUCGAAGCGGUGAUCGCGCGGCUCGGUGACGCGACCGCAUCUCGGAGCAUAUCCCGAAGCUCCGCGCGAGGUCGUGGCUCGUGAUGGGUGGUUACCCGUUAAGCCCACCCCCGCUCUCGCUGCGUGGGGUUCCAAUUGUCUACACUGUGGGUUGCAUAUAAGCCAACAACUGGGCCAAUAAGAGAUGCCCACGUGGCUUCACUGUGGGGAAACAGUGUCAGCUCAGCUGUAGAUUAUUACUAUUUUAAUUAAUUAAAAUUUGGUGACAAAUUUUAUUAAAUCUAGUAGAUUUAUUUGUUCUUAGCCGUUAAUUAUUUUAAUCUCAUUCAUCCAAAAUCAAUUAACUAAACUUAAUAAAUAUAAAAAAUUUAAGAGUUAAGAUAGUCUCAACCGAAGAAUAACAAUUUAAAAGUUGAGAUGUAUAUAGUUCGGAAGCUCUCUUUAUAUUUUAUUUUAACAAAAAUAAAUAAAUAUGGCGUAUUUUUUUUUCUUUCACAUAUCUUUCAAGUUAUAUUUGAUAUAACUUUGUGUGAACCGUUUAAAAUAGUUAACAGGUAAGAAUUAAUAAAACUAUUAAGUUUACUAAAAAGUUUAAAAUUAGGGGAGCAAUUUCGAAAAGUUCUAUAGUUGAGGUGGUCUCUGUGCAUUUUCACUCUCACUCUAGUCAAGUCACGUGGGCAUCUUCUAUUGGUCCAUUUGUAAGAUUAUUAUAGAUAAACUAUAAACUUCUGGCGUGUGGAGAAUUUGAAACCCGCUACGUUUCGCUUCUCCUAAUGCUCACUUUAUUAUUUUAUUAUAUAUAUAUAUAUAUAUAUAUAUGUAGGGAAAUAUUUAUAUUUAUAUGUAUAUUUAUAUUUAUAUUUAUAUUUAUAUUAUAUAUGUAUAUGGUUUUUGCGACGUUUCGGUGUGUUCUCGUCGAAUGUAACGCCAUGUCGUUUUGAUUAGGCCGGGAUUAGCUGCGAGCAAUGAACAGCAAACCGCAUGGAGUGCCGCCACGUGGCGAUUUGGUGAGAUAUGAUUGGACGAGGCACGACGCAGUGCGUGUUUGGUGUUCGUGGGCGUGAACGCUCCCUGCGUUCGUGCCCCCUCGGCGGCGUUGAUGGGAUGGCGCGGCCCGAGUCUCGUGACUCCGCGGGUCUCCGGCACGUGCGGGAAAUCCGCGUACGAGGUCGCGCGGGGCACGUGGGCCCCACCCGCGACACGUGCGGCGAGCACCGCCGAUGCCACGUCACCAAAAAUAUUUUCCUUUUUAGCAAUCACGCCACUCAAGUACUCAACUAUAAAUCAUGUUAUGUUAAUGUUAAUAAUAAUAAAGGAAUAAUUAAAUUUCAAGAAAUAUCGUGAUUAAUUAGGUCGCGCCACGUAGGAUAUAUUAGUACCCUUAAUCUCGACCGUCCGUGACAAAUGUACGGUCCGAGAUCGAGCGGUGGAAAACGGGUUAGGUGGGACGAGCCCCCGGGGCCCACACGUGUCCCCGGUGCAGCCGACAACAACUGCCCGAGGAAGUGGGCCCCGCGACUGCCCCCGCCCCAUUGGACAACCAAGCCCGGUCCGGGGUGGGGCCCACUCCCUGGCCCCUCACCCGCAGACCGGAACCCAACCCCGGUUCAAUUCCCUCUCCUUUUCCUUUUUUGGUUUUNCCCCCCCCCCCCCCCCCCCCCGGCGCCCCGAGCGGUCCACGUCACCCUUCCCGGACGCCAAAUCGGAUUUAAACUAUAAUUUACCGGACGCCAAACGGAGAUCCCAAUCCGGCUAAUUCCCCCCGCCACGUCAGCACCUAGGCCGACACACCAGCUCCGAAACGUGUAACCCCCUACGCCGUCGAGAGCGGCCACGUGGCGGCGUCUCCGUCGAGCCCCCCUCUCGGCGGUUAACAUACCGGGGAUGUGGGCCCCACGAAACAGCCUCACAUUAUUACGACCGCCCGUUCCGCGCCGCACGAAUCUCGCGUGACGGGACCGCGCUUCUGCGUAACGGCCGACACGUCAGCACGAACCGGGAUGACGUCAUUAUUACGACUUUUUCCGCCCUCAUUUAAUAUUUAUUUUAUUAAAGCGAGAAAAAAGGAAACGGGGGGUCGCUAUCGGUGUUGGAGGGGAGGACACAGGCCUUUAAUCAUGGGAUUAUGAUGGGGAUUAGCACGGGAUUAAAGCUAAUUAAUUAAACGCAAUAAUGCUCCCCCUUUUAGGUGCCCUCUCGCGCCACCGCGAGUCCUCGAGGCUCCGAUCACAAAAACAAUAAUAAUAAUAAUAAUAAUAAUAAUAAUAAUAAUCAUACUCAUUUUUAUCUAGUGUUAUUUAGCUCUUUUAAUUCGGUUUUAUCCCAUCCUUGUUCUAAUUUGUAUCACAUGCUAGUAAGGUCUAAAACGCGUUGAAGGGUCGUGAUAAGAAUAUUUGUCCCAUAUUUAACAAAAAUUAAAAUUUUGAGAUAUAUAUAAUAUAAGAAAAAUGACACAAGAAAUUCUCUCACGGGAGACUAUUUAAUUGACUUCAUAUAUUAUAUACAAUGCACGAAUUUUAGAGUAACAAUUGAUGUUUACUAUUAUACCUAUUUCUUCUCAUAAAAUUUUUCUUGGAUUUUUUUCACCCACUAGCUUAAGAUUUUCCAUAGAAUUUUAGCAACUAUUUUAAGAUAAUAUCUGAGCGCAUCACCCAUUCUUUAUAAUUUUUAAACUUCCUAAAAAUAUAUUUUGCUGCCAAAUAAGUACAACAAUGUGGGAAAAAAAAAAGAUUUGCCCUUUGCAAUUUCUCUUACAUUUUUUUUUCCAUAAAAUUUUUAGAUUAACAAAUAAAAAUUAAUAAAUAAUAUCGGAUGAGUAUUCGGUUAUAUAUAGUUGCAAAUUAUAUAUAAAAAGAGCAAAUCCUACUACAGGAGGGGUCCCACACCUUCCGCCCUAUUUUCUUUGCGAAGCGGAGCUGAUUCGAAAUGAGUUAGAUUUUAUUUUAUUUUUUUGCUCCCAACUCCCGACUUAUUCGGGACGAUUCGAGACGAAUGUAAAUUUUUGACGGAUCGAGACUGAUACGAGGAAAGUGAAGGAUAGGAACGGGAUCUCCACUAAUCCGGAUAUAUUUGCAUUUUUUAUUAAACUAAGAAGGGUGUAAUUUCAAAUAAAAAAAUAAAUAAAUUAUAGGGUGGUAUUUUAAAGAGAGAAAAAAAAUAAAAAAAAAAAAGAAGAAAACGUGUGAGCAGUUACGGAUAUAUUGGGGGACCGCGGGAGCAGGGAGACGUCGCUAUCGGGGGCCACGUGACAUCACGUGCGCGGGGCGAGGGGGUACGUAACGGACGGGCGAGAUUCGGCGAUGGCGACGGUCCCGGGCCACCCUACGGUGGGAGAUAAGGCGUAGGUGGGGACCACCGGGGUUGUGAAUGCGCAGUGAUUCGUGUAUCGUGCCCGCGAAAUAAUUGUACUCCGAGAAUCCCCGAUCGGCGAUCCUCGGCCGUCCGAUCCGUCAUGAUGACAUGUCUCCCCACGGUCCGGGUACGGCUCGAGGUGGAGUUACUGCACCCGACCGGCUACGGACCGGACCGCCCCAAUUCGUCCGGUUCGGUUCCGUAGAGAUAAACAGAUAAUUAUCUAUAUACCCCCCAAAAUAUUCCAAAAUAUCUAAUACACCCUUUUCAUUUUUGGUUCAAAUAUACCCCUCCUAUAUAUCUUGAUUAUUAAAAAGUAAACCCGCCAUUAGUACCCGUAAAGUGAGUAGAGCUACUAUACUAUUGAAAGCACAAAGGAUAUGGUACUUUCGACUUUUUGGCCCUUAAAUCAACCCUUUUGAUAAUUUCUAACCUUUGGAUUAAUACUGUUAUUCUCUAAAAAUCACUAAACUCUAGAAGUACUACUCAACCUUAUUAGGGAAGACCGCAAUCAUUCCAACGGUACAAUUCUUGAUCCAAGGAUCAAAAAAUCGACAGCAUCAAAUUCUCUAUGCUUCCGAUAGUAUAGUAGCUCUACACCCGGUUAAGUCACCUCGAGUUAAAUCUGAGUUAAACUUCUAUAAGAAUUACAAAGAAAUCAAGAUACCUAACGUCGGUGACGGUAAAAAAAACAGUAUAUUUGAAAAGGUAAAAUGUUAAAAUACUUAUUUUGUCCAUAAUUUAAAAUAAAUAAAAAAAAUGGUGACAAUAGAAGAGAAUAUUUGAAAGAAUAAAAUAGUAAUUUUACAGAGAUAAUGAUUGUUCCUAAUGGUUCACGUUAACAUAAUAGGGUAUAUUUGAAGAACUUGUAACGUUAAAAUAAUAUUUUUUAUAUUAGUUUUCUAAACGGAAUGAAUAAAAAAGUUUGAAACUUUUUAUGGAUAUAUAAGUAAUUGCGCUAAAAAUGGAAAUGUAGAAAAUUUACUUACACAAUAUACUAUUUUGGUUUAAUUAUUCAUUUUUUUAAAAAUUAUGAAGGUAAAGAUGUAUAAAAUUUAUUUGAACUUUUGAUUAUGUGGAUCUUGACUAUCCAACCUUUCAGUUUAUUUGAUUUGAUUCAGAUAAUAAUACUUUGACUCUAAAAUUUUAGCUAAUUAUUUAUUUUAAUAAAAUUAUCUUUGUGAUAAAUGCAUGGAAUAUACUAACUGAACCUAUAAAGAUAAAAAACAUAUUCAAAUUUUGACAGAUUAACUAGCCAAAUCUAAAUAGUCUACAGUUCAGAUAAGUUGCGUACGAAUUACCUUUUUUAUUCUAAUA